This is a non-coding RNA of Acanthosepion pharaonis, 87 nucleotides long. NCBI's taxonomy places the organism in Eukaryota, Metazoa, Mollusca, Cephalopoda, Sepiida, Sepiidae. The record is from the annotation of a GenBank genome assembly.
GGUCAUAUCACGAUCACCGAAGUUAAGCAACGUUCGGCAUUGUCAGUACUCAGAUGGAUGACCGCUGGGGAAUACCAGGUGCUGUAA